CAAAAUUCCCGAACAAACCUGCGAGAUUCGCGGUGGACGACGACGCGAUCAACUCGAACGCGUUUAGUUUCUUCCCGCUUUCCUCUAGAUCGUAAUCAUCAAUUUGAACCUUGGUUCGAAAUUGCGGGUGGCGACAAGAAGCGAGGAGGUGGGAGCUUAGCGCCUAGCGCCAUGGCGGUACAAAGCGAUACCUGCAACAGAACAAGGCACAACUAAACGCCGCUUUUAGCGCUCUAUGGAUAUUGCAAAAGCGAGGAAGAAGCGAGAAAAGCUAGGGAUCUAUGUACCUCGCCUGGCAAGGGUGUCCCUAAGCGUUGAGGGCAUCGCCUUGGGCGCCUUAGCGCCAUGGCGACAAAAACUCUCGCUUUUUCGAACCAAGAUUUGAACCCCGACGAUCUCGCUCGGAUCCACUCUGUGGUUGAACCAGGGAUCCUUCAGAAUCUCCUCCACGGUGAUCCGUUUCUCCGAAGAUUCAUUAGCUCCGGAGAAGUCCACUCCGGCAUGGUGUAUUGAGCCGUUCGGAUUCUCCGGUAGAGUCCCGAGAUGUUUGAAUCUCGAAACGGUGAGUAGCCUGCGUUGAGAAGAAACAAAGCGACGCCGCAUGACCAUAUAUCCGUCGUAUCCUUUCUUCGUUAAAAGCUCGGGUGCCACGUAAGCAGGGGGUCCCACAUAGAGUAUGUAGCAUCCCGUCGGAUUUGAUCUGCUCCUCCAUCGCGCUGAGACCAAAAUCGGAAACCUUCAGAUCUCGAUUCUCGUCGAGGAGGAGAUUCUCCGGUUUGAGAUCACUGUGGUAAACUCCCCCUCGCGUGGCAGUACCUUACGGCGGAGAUCAAUUGCCGGAAAUAUUUCCGGCUGAGACCUUCAGUGAAACGGUUGCUCGAGACUCGGGGGAACAGCUCGCCGCCCUUGGCGAGCUCCAUGACGAAGAUCUUCUUCGUCUUGGUGUCGAGGACUUCGGAGAGGAGGACGAUGUGAGGGUGGCGGAGGCCGCACAUGACGGAGAUCUCUCUCUUGACUUGCGCCGUGAGUCCGUCUUUUAGACGCUUCUUCUGGACGACUUUGAUCGCGACGCUUUCGCGGUCGUUGUGAAGAUCCUCCGCUUGGUAGACUUUGGCGAACGCGCCACUGCCUAGAAGCUUUCCGAGGUCGUGUUUGCCGAAUAUAGCUGAUUUGUUAUCGUCUCCGUCGACGUUGAGGAUGAUAGAAUCAGAAGUCUUCGCCUGACAUUUUUUAAAACAGUGAUACAAAUUGAAAAGACAUGCGCGCGGUGCCUCUCUUCAUAAAAUUCUCAAUUGCCACGUCAUCUAUAUUUUAAAAAAUGAUUUUUAUUUUUAUUUUUAUUUGACUUUCUUGGUAUGUGAAAUUAAUCAUCAUAUACGACAAUUUCAAUGCCAUACUAUUAUAAUUUUACUAACUGGAACUAAGUUAGGAAUAUGCUAAUAACCGGGUUAGUAAGAAAGAGGCUCAUUCCUCCUACCUUAUCAAGAAAACAAACAUGCUUACUGCUUCAAGUCUCUCUAAUCCUUGUUUGUUAAGAAAUUUGUGCAAUGGGAUGCUUUGAGCAAGUCACAAAGAAGCUAGUUAACUGCGAUACCAGUGAGUGAUAUAACAUGAGUACGCAAAAACGAAACUUAGAAAACAUAAGAGCAUCAUUAUCCCAUAUACCCAUUUUAGGGGUUCUUAGUUAUUCUUUAAUACUUUUAAGUAGGAAAAGUGAAUUUAAGAGACUUAGUUAAAAGCAUCAUUAUCCCAAAAAUCCUUUUAGGAUCCCUUAACAACCUACAUUGAUAAGCUCUACCAUGAAACAACACCUAUCUAGUUCAUGCUUGU
This is a long non-coding RNA of Brassica napus (rape), 1830 nucleotides long. RefSeq lists it as uncharacterized. The record is from RefSeq and is a predicted model, not a curated record. NCBI's taxonomy places the organism in Eukaryota, Viridiplantae, Streptophyta, Magnoliopsida, Brassicales, Brassicaceae. The transcript is spliced from 2 exons.